Molecule: ribosomal RNA, 492 nt
Filed under: uncultured bacterium
Lineage: Bacteria
Description: partial 16S ribosomal RNA
Rfam family: Bacterial small subunit ribosomal RNA
Source: RNAcentral
AGUGAACGCUGGCGGUAGGCCUAACACAUGCAAGUCGAGCGGCAGCACAGUAAGAGCUUGCUCUUACGGGUGGCGAGUGGCGGACGGGUGAGGAAUACAUCGGAAUCUACUUUUUCGUGGGGGACAACGUAGGGAAACUUACGCUAAUACCGCAUACGACCUACGGGUGAAAGCAGGGGAUCUUCGGACCUUGCGCGAUUGAAUGAGCCGAUGUCGGAUUAGCUAGUUGGCGGGGUAAAGGCCCACCAAGGCGACGAUCCGUAGCUGGUCUGAGAGGAUGAUCAGCCACACUGGAACUGAGACACGGUCCAGACUCCUACGGGAGGCAGCAGUGGGGAAUAUUGGACAAUGGGCGCAAGCCUGAUCCAGCCAUACCGCGUGGGUGAAGAAGGCCUUCGGGUUGUAAAGCCCUUUUGUUGGGAAAGAAAAGCAGCAGGUUAAUACCCCGCUGUUCUGACGGUACCCAAAGAAUAAGCACCGGCUAACUUCGUG